AAAACCGACGCGACCCGAGCUGGGCUGCGGAAAUGGCGCCCAUGUCCCGGCUCCGGCCAGGUCGUGAUCAGGAGACAGACUGAGGAGCCUCUCCCCACCGCAAUCCCUUUAUACUGGGUAGGGGUUCGAAGGCACAGGGACAGAGUAUACAGGACACUGCUUGAGGCAGCGCGUCCACCCACCAUCUGUGCGACCUCAUCAAGUCACCUCUCUGAGCCUCAGUUUCCCGGUAUAAUGGAAACGGCAAUUUUAAAUGACACAUAUGAGGCCUCACUCCAUCACCCAGGCUGGAUUGCAGAGACACGAUCAUAGCUCACUACAGCCUCUAACUCUUGGGUUCAAGCGAUCCUCUCACCUCAGCCUCCAUAGUUCUUAGCUGGGACUACAAGUGUGCAGCAUCACACCUGGCUAAUAAUUCCAUCCUUAACCCUCUGCGAGGGAUGCCAUUUGCCUUCUGAAUAAACCCAGACUCCUUCAGGAGGCUUACAAGGUCCUGGGCCACAUUUUUAGCCUUUCUUCCAUCCACUCCACCACAGACUUUAAGAUGCAGUAAAAAUGGUUCUCACUUCCUUGCCUUACCACAGCUGUGCCAUCCACCUGUCGUGCCCACUACCCAUCUGCCUCUUCAGGCAGGACUGUGUGGAUUGGAUGUUGCCAGAUCACAGUGGCCUGUUCACUCUCCUGGUUCCUCCUCAAGGACUGAGCACCUUAAUUGCAUGUCAGUCUUAUUGUACUUGGACUCCCUCAUGUCUACCGCGGCAUAUGUGGAGUGAGUGAGUGAGUGAAUGAAUGAAUGAAUGAAGGGGUUAAGAUUUGGACCAGCUUGUCCCUGAGGGGUCCAGUGAGUUUCGAAGAUGUACCUCAAGCAAAUAAUCAUAAUCAGGUUGCAUGCCCACCCAAUGCCAGCAGAGGAGACCAGAGACCAGCGGGCAGGUGGAAGCUGUGCCCCCAGGAGUCUAAGAAGUCUCUGGCCUGGCCAGAGGGUACUUCCAAAGCCUGUGUGAGAAGUUCCAUCUUCCCGUCCCUCAUCUCAGGCCAACUCU
RNAcentral lists this long non-coding RNA (1043 nucleotides) under Homo sapiens (human). RNAcentral's name for it is "non-protein coding lnc-DNAJB7-2:9". The record is from RNAcentral. Lineage: Eukaryota; Metazoa; Chordata; Mammalia; Primates; Hominidae.